GUGGUAUAAGUGUCCCCCUCUUGAAGGAUGUGCAUGGGAAAUUAAACAUUGCUCAGCAACUAUCAGACAGAAAGGGCAAAAGGCUAACUUCAGUCUUCUCAAGCAGUUAAUCAACAAACAAACUUCAACAAAAGGAAGGUCCUGGAAAUCCUCUCUGGCAAAGUGACAAUGUUUCUACAAAGAAUACCUACUGCGGCAAGUGUAUAAAGAGGAAGCGGCUUUAUAAACCUGGGAUGUAGCAUUCAACUCAACAUUGUUUUCAUCUCGCCUCAAACGCAGACUCCUAGAACAAUGGAAGUUGGCAGUUUUAAAUAUAGCAUUGCACAGACACAUGCCUGCACGUAUGUGUGCAGGAUGGAAAGGUCACAAAGUAGCACUUCUGGUCUUAUGCCUACAGUAUUUUUUUCCUCUUGUGGCUGUAUGUAUCCUUGAAGCUUCCACGUUCCCAUUCUUCCAACAACCGGCCCUCAGGUAGAAAUACACAAACAAGCCCACCACUUAACUCUUAAAAUCCAUGGGGGAUUGUCAUCACAAAAGCACAGUAUUGAUGUUUGUUUUCAUUGUGACCUAUAAGGCAAAGAUAAUCUAUGGCAUGUCCUUAGCACAUUCUUCCACCACAAGAAUGAGUCUCAGUCACAGGGUCAGAAGUGUGGGAGCAUUGAUAGAGACCACUUUCAUCAGCAGUCAAACUGCUCAUUUUAUGCACUACACCUAAUGGACAGGGGUAUCAUUUAUGAAGGGUAAUGCCU
Molecule: long non-coding RNA, 749 nt
Organism: Oreochromis niloticus (Nile tilapia)
Lineage: Eukaryota; Metazoa; Chordata; Actinopteri; Cichliformes; Cichlidae
Exons: 3
Source: RefSeq, a predicted model, not a curated record